UGAGUCGGCCGGGCGAUCGCGUCGGCUCCCGUGAGGGAGCCGACGAGGAACGUCCGGGCUCCACAGGGCAGGGUGGUUGCUAACGGCAACCCGGGGUGACCCGCGGGAAAGUGCCACAGAAAGCAGACCGCCCGGUGCCGAGAGGCACCGGGUAAGGGUGAAACGGUGGUGUAAGAGACCACCAGCGCCCGGGGUGACCCGGGCGGCUCGGCAAACCCCACCCGGAGCAAGGUCAAGAAGGGUCCGGUGCCUUCGGGCAUCGGGCCUGCGCAGGCGUUCGAGGGCGGCCCGCCCGAGCCUGCGGGUAGACCGCACGAGCCUGCCGGCGACGGCAGGCCUAGAUGGAUGAUCGCCGGCCGGGGCAGCGCCGCAAGGCGCCCCGGUCACAGAACCCGGCGUACAGGCCGACUCAUCCG
This 416-nucleotide RNase P RNA is filed under the name Pseudonocardiales bacterium. RNAcentral's name for it is "RNase P RNA component class A". It matches the Rfam family "Bacterial RNase P class A". From Rfam's summary of the family: Ribonuclease P (RNase P) is a ubiquitous endoribonuclease, found in archaea, bacteria and eukarya as well as chloroplasts and mitochondria. Its best characterised activity is the generation of mature 5'-ends of tRNAs by cleaving the 5'-leader elements of precursor-tRNAs. Cellular RNase Ps are ribonucleoproteins. Lineage: Bacteria; Bacillati; Actinomycetota; Actinomycetes; Pseudonocardiales. The record is from RNAcentral.